UACUUAGGGUCCGAGCGUUGUCCGGAGUUACUGGGCGUAAAGCGCGCGCAGGCGGCGGUGUUGGCCCGGCGUGAAAGCCCCCGGCUCAACCGGGGAGAGUCGUCGGGGACCGCACCGCUUGAGGGCGGUAGGGGCUGGUGGAAUGCCUGGUGUAGUGGUGAAAUGCGUAGAGAUCAGGCAGAACACCUGGGGCGAAGGCGGCCAGCUGGGCCGUCCCUGACGCUGAGGCGCGAAGGCGUGGGGAGCGAACAGG
RNAcentral lists this ribosomal RNA (253 nucleotides) under uncultured bacterium. RNAcentral describes it as "partial 16S ribosomal RNA". It matches the Rfam family "Bacterial small subunit ribosomal RNA", at positions 524 to 776 of the family's 1533-position model. The record is from RNAcentral.